Molecule: ribosomal RNA, 389 nt
Filed under: uncultured bacterium
Lineage: Bacteria
Description: bacterial SSU rRNA
Rfam family: Bacterial small subunit ribosomal RNA
Source: RNAcentral
GACGAACGCUGGCGGCGUGCUUAACACAUGCAAGUCGAGCGGUAAGGCCCUUUCGGGGGUACACGAGCGGCGAACGGGUGAGUAACACGUGGGUGACCUGCCCUCAGCUCUGGGAUAAGCCUGGGAAACCCGGGUCUAAUACUGGAUAUGACUCCAUGACGCAUGUUGUGGGGUGGAAAGCCUUGUGCGGCUGAGGAUGGGCCCGCGGCCUAUCAGCUUGUUGGUGGGGUGAGGCCUACCAAGGCGACGACGGGUAGCCGGCCUGAGAGGGCGACCGGCCACACUGGGACUGAGACACGGCCCAGACUCCUACGGGAGGCAGCAGUGGGGAAUCUUGCGCAAUGGGCGAAAGCCUGACGCAGCGACGCCGCGUGAGGGAUGACGGCCUC